UGAGCAAUCUGCCCUUCUCAUCGGAAUAAGCGUUGGAAACCGCGUCUAAUGCCGAAUACGACCUCCUUUCGCAUGAUCGGAGGUGGAAAGCUCCGGCGGAGAAGGAUGAGCUCGCGGCCUAUCAGCUAGUUGGUGUGGGUAAUGGCCCACCAAGGCGACGACGGGUAGCCGGCCUGAGAGGGUGACCGGCCACACUGGGACUGAGACACGGCCCAGACUCCUACGGGAGCAG
RNAcentral lists this ribosomal RNA (232 nucleotides) under uncultured bacterium. Its description in RNAcentral is "partial 16S ribosomal RNA". It matches the Rfam family "Bacterial small subunit ribosomal RNA", at positions 118 to 347 of the family's 1533-position model. The record is from RNAcentral.